GGCUUAACACAUGCAAGUCGAGGGGCAGCAUUUCAGUUUGCUUGCAAACUGGAGAUGGCGACCGGCGCACGGGUGAGUAACACGUAUCCAACCUGCCGAUAACUCGGGGAUAGCCUUUCGAAAGAAAGAUUAAUACCCGAUGGUAUAAUUAGACCGCAUGGUCUUGUUAUUAAAGAAUUUCGGUUAUCGAUGGGGAUGCGUUCCAUUAGGCAGUUGGUGAGGUAACGGCUCACCAAACCUUCGAUGGAUAGGGGUUCUGAGAGGAAGGUCCCCCACAUUGGAACUGAGACACGGUCCAAACUCCUACGGGAGGCAGCAGUGAGGAAUAUUGGUCAAUGGGCGCAGGCCUGAACCAGCCAAGUAGCGUGAAGGAUGACGG
RNAcentral lists this ribosomal RNA (379 nucleotides) under uncultured Bacteroides sp. Its description in RNAcentral is "bacterial SSU rRNA". It matches the Rfam family "Bacterial small subunit ribosomal RNA", at positions 45 to 414 of the family's 1533-position model. The record is from RNAcentral. Lineage: Bacteria; Pseudomonadati; Bacteroidota; Bacteroidia; Bacteroidales; Bacteroidaceae.